CCUACGGGGGGCUGCAGUGAGGAAUAUUGGUCAAUGGGCGGAAGCCUGAACCAGCCAAGUAGCGUGCGGGAUGAAGGCCCUACGGGUCGUAAACCGCUUUUGCACGGGGAUAACACCCUCCACUUGUGGAGGUCUGCAGGUACCGUGCGAAUAAGGGCCGGCUAAUUCCGUGCCAGCAGCCGCGGUAAUACGGAAGGCCCGAGCGUUAUCCGGAUUCAUUGGGUUUAAAGGGUGCGUAGGCGGGUUAUCAAGUCAGCGGUAAAAUCGUGGAGCUCAACUCCAUCCAGCCGUUGAAACUGAUGAUCUUGAGUGGGCGAGAAGUAUGCGGAAUGCGUGGUGUAGCGGUGAAAUGCAUAGAUAUCACGCAGAACUCCGAUUGCGAAGGCAGCAUACCGGCGCCCGACUGACGCUGAAGCACGAAAGCGUGGGUAUCGAACAGGAUUAGAUACCCCUGUAGUC
This 459-nucleotide ribosomal RNA is filed under the name uncultured bacterium. RNAcentral describes it as "partial 16S ribosomal RNA". It matches the Rfam family "Bacterial small subunit ribosomal RNA", at positions 338 to 795 of the family's 1533-position model. The record is from RNAcentral.